UUUACUCCUACGGGAGGCAGCAGUGGGGAAUAUUGCACAAUGGGCGCAAGCCUGAUGCAGCGACGCCGCGUGAGGGAUGACGGCCUUCGGGUUGUAAACCUCUUUCAGUAGGGAAGAAGCGAAAGUGACGGUACCUGCAGAAGAAGCGCCGGCUAACUACGUGCCAGCAGCCGCGGUAAUACGUAGGGCGCAAGCGUUAUCCGGAAUUAUUGGGCGUAAAGAGCUCGUAGGCGGUUUGUCGCGUCUGCCGUGAAAGUCCGGGGCUCAACUCCGGAUCUGCGGUGGGUACGGGCAGACUAGAGUGAUGUAGGGGAGACUGGAAUUCCUGGUGUAGCGGUGAAAUGCGCAGAUAUCAGGAGGAACACCGAUGGCGAAGGCAGGUCUCUGGGCAUUAACUGACGCUGAGGAGCGAAAGCAUGGGGAGCGAACAGGAUUAGAUACCCUGGUAGUCCAUGCCGUAAACGUUGGGCACUAGGUGUGGGGGACAUUCCACGUUUUCCGCGCCGUAGCUAACGCAUUAAGUGCCCCGCCUGGGGAGUACGGCCGCAAGGCUAAAACUCAAAGGAAUUGACGGGGGCCCGCACAAGCGGCGGAGCAUGCGGAUUAAUUCGAUGCAACGCGAAGAACCUUACCAAGGCUUGACAUGGACCGGACCGGGCUGAAACAGUCCUUUCCCCCUG
This 680-nucleotide ribosomal RNA is filed under the name Arthrobacter sp. Its description in RNAcentral is "bacterial SSU rRNA". It matches the Rfam family "Bacterial small subunit ribosomal RNA", at positions 332 to 1022 of the family's 1533-position model. Lineage: Bacteria; Bacillati; Actinomycetota; Actinomycetes; Micrococcales; Micrococcaceae. The record is from RNAcentral.